AUGGAUCCACUGGGAUCCAUCCUCUGGAUUCUCUGUAAUGCUCGCACGACACCCUUUCCUCCAACCAAACAUCAUCCAGUAGUUCACCCAUGUUCAUCUUUAUCAGCGUCUUCAGCAACAACUCACAAAACAGAACCGCCAAUUUCCCUCUAUUCAAGCUCAGCUCAAACUCUGUUCGCUCAAAAAUGCUCCUUUUGUCGUGAUUCAAAGCUCUCGACGACAUCUCUUCAAUUCAGUAAAUUUGAUACCCUAUUAUUUGGUUCUAUAACUGUGAUGUUGUUGAUUGAGGUGUGUGAUAUUUUUGAUAAUUAUGUUGAAACUGUGUGA
This is a non-coding RNA of Vicia faba (fava bean), 327 nucleotides long. NCBI's taxonomy places the organism in Eukaryota, Viridiplantae, Streptophyta, Magnoliopsida, Fabales, Fabaceae. The record is from the annotation of a GenBank genome assembly.